Molecule: transfer RNA, 56 nt
Filed under: Belyta sp. ZJUH_2016005
Lineage: Eukaryota; Metazoa; Arthropoda; Insecta; Hymenoptera; Diapriidae
Description: tRNA-Ser
Source: RNAcentral
GAAAUAAACUAUUUGAACUUCUAAUUCUAAAUAUUAAUUUUUUUUUAAUUAUUUCU